AACGAACGCUGGCGGCAGGCUUAACACAUGCAAGUCGAACGCAUCCUUCGGGGUGAGUGGCAGACGGGUGAGUAACACGUGGGAACGUACCUUUCAGUUCGGAAUAACCCAGGGGAAACUUGGGCUAAGACCGGAUACGCCCUUUUGGGGGAAAGAUUUAUCGCUGAGAGAUCGGCCCGCGUCUGAUUAGCUAGUUGGUGAGGUAAAGGCUCACCAAGGCGACGAUCAGUAGCUGGUCUGAGAGGAUGAUCAGCCACAUUGGGACUGAGACACGGCCCAAACUCCUACGGGAGGCAG
RNAcentral lists this ribosomal RNA (297 nucleotides) under uncultured Pseudomonadota bacterium. RNAcentral's name for it is "uncultured proteobacterium partial 16S ribosomal RNA". It matches the Rfam family "Bacterial small subunit ribosomal RNA", at positions 29 to 351 of the family's 1533-position model. Lineage: Bacteria; Pseudomonadati; Pseudomonadota. The record is from RNAcentral.